UACGUAGGGUGCAAGCGUUAAUCGGAAUUACUGGGCGUAAAGCGUGCGCAGGCGGUUGUGCAAGACAGAUGUGAAAUCCCCGGGCUUAACCUGGGAAUUGCAUUUGUGACUGCACGGCUAGAGUGUGUUAGAGGGGGGUAGAAUUCCACGUGUAGCAGUGAAAUGCGUAGAGAUGUGGAGGAAUACCGAUGGCGAAGGCAGCCCCCUGGGAUAACACUGACGCUCAUGCACGAAAGCGUGGGGAGCAAACAGG
RNAcentral lists this ribosomal RNA (253 nucleotides) under uncultured bacterium. Its description in RNAcentral is "partial 16S ribosomal RNA". It matches the Rfam family "Bacterial small subunit ribosomal RNA", at positions 524 to 776 of the family's 1533-position model. The record is from RNAcentral.